This 465-nucleotide ribosomal RNA is filed under the name uncultured bacterium. RNAcentral's name for it is "partial 16S ribosomal RNA". It matches the Rfam family "Bacterial small subunit ribosomal RNA", at positions 28 to 507 of the family's 1533-position model. The record is from RNAcentral.
GACGAACGCUGGCGGCGUGCUUAACACAUGCAAGUCGAACGGAAAGGCCCCUUCGGGGGUACUCGAGUGGCGAACGGGUGAGUAACACGUGAGUAACCUGCCCUUGACUUCGGGAUAACUUCAGGAAACUGGGGCUAAUACCGGAUAGGAAUCCUUGCUGCAUGGUGGGGGUUGGAAAGCUUCGGCGGUUUUGGAUGGACUCGCGGCGUAUCAGCUUGUUGGUGGGGUAGUGGCUUACCAAGGCUUUGGCGGGUAGCCGGCCUGAGAGGGCGACCGGCCACAUUGGGACUGAGAGACGGCCCAGACUCCUACGGGAGGCAGCAGUGGGGAAGAUUGCACAAGGGGCGGAGGCCGGAUGCAGCAACGCCGCGUGCGGGAUAACGGCCUUCGGGUUGUAAACCGCUUUCAGCAGGGGCGAAGCUUGUGGUGACGGUACCUGCAGAAGAAGCACCGGCUAACUACGUG